GUGUUAACUUAUCCUUCUUCGGCACGUUUAACACAUGCAAGUCGAGCGGAAACGAGUUAUCUGAACCUUCGGGGAACGAUAACGGCGUCGAGCGGCGGACGGGUGAGUAAUGCCUGGGAAAUUGCCCUGAUGUGGGGGAUAACCAUUGGAAACGAUGGCUAAUACCGCAUAAUAGCUUCGGCUCAAAGAGGGGGACCUUCGGGCCUCUCGCGUCAGGAUAUGCCCAGGUGGGAUUAGCUAGUUGGUGAGGUAAGGGCUCACCAAGGCGACGAUCCCUAGCUGGUCUGAGAGGAUGAUCAGCCACACUGGAACUGAGACACGGUCCAGACUCCUACGGGAGGCAGCAGUGGGGAAUAUUGCACAAUGGGCGCAAGCCUGAUGCAGCCAUGCCGCGUGUAUGAAGAAGCCUUCGGGUUGUAAAGUACUUUCAGCAGUGAGGAAGGCGGGUACGUUAAUAGCGUGUUCAUUUGACGUUAGCUGCAGAAGAAGCACCGGCUAACUCCGUGCCAGCAGCCGCGGUAAUACCGAGGGUGCGAGCGUUAAUCGGAAUUACUGGGCGUAAAACGCAUGCAGGUGGUUUGUUAAAUCAAAAUGUGAAAACCCCGGGGCUUCAAACCUUCGGGAAUUUGCAUUUGAAACUUGGCAGACUAAAAUACUUGUAAAGGGGGGUAGAAUUUCAGGUGUACCGGUGGAAUGCGUAAAAAAUCUAAAGGAAUACCGGUGGCGAAGGCGGCCCCCUGGACAAAUACUUGACACUUAAAUGCCAAAACCU
This 772-nucleotide ribosomal RNA is filed under the name gamma proteobacterium HRG14. Its description in RNAcentral is "bacterial SSU rRNA". It matches the Rfam family "Bacterial small subunit ribosomal RNA", at positions 22 to 762 of the family's 1533-position model. The record is from RNAcentral. Lineage: Bacteria; Pseudomonadati; Pseudomonadota; Gammaproteobacteria.